Molecule: ribosomal RNA, 253 nt
Filed under: uncultured bacterium
Lineage: Bacteria
Description: partial 16S ribosomal RNA
Rfam family: Bacterial small subunit ribosomal RNA
Source: RNAcentral
UACGAAGGGAGCUAGCGUUGUUCGGAAUCACUGGGCGUAAAGCGCACGUAGGCGGAUGUGUCAGUCAGGGGUGAAAUCCCGGAGCUCAACUUCGGAACUGCCUUUGAUACAGCACAUCUGGAGUCCGGAAGAGGUGGGUGGAAUUCCUAGUGUAGAGGUGAAAUUCGUAGAUAUUAGGAAGAACACCGGUGGCGAAGGCGGUCCACUGGUCCGGUACUGACGCUGAGGUGCGAAAGCGUGGGGAGCAAACAGG